Molecule: ribosomal RNA, 305 nt
Filed under: uncultured bacterium
Lineage: Bacteria
Description: bacterial SSU rRNA
Rfam family: Bacterial small subunit ribosomal RNA
Source: RNAcentral
CCCUACGGGACGCAGCAGUGGGGAAUAUUGGGCAACGGGCGCAAGCCUGACCCAGCAACGCCGCGUGAAGGAAGAAGGCUUUCGGGUUGUAAACUUCUUUUAUGAGGGACGAAAGAAAUGACGGUACCUCAUGAAUAAGCCACGGCUAACUACGUGCCAGCAGCCGCGGUAAUACGUAGGUGGCAAGCGUUAUCCGGAUUUACUGGGUGUAAAGGGCGUGUAGGCGGGACUACAAGUCAGAUGUGAAAAUUACGGGCUCAACCCUGGAACUGCGUUUGAAACUGUUCUUCUUGAGUGAUGGAGAG